Molecule: ribosomal RNA, 252 nt
Filed under: uncultured bacterium
Lineage: Bacteria
Description: partial 16S ribosomal RNA
Rfam family: Bacterial small subunit ribosomal RNA
Source: RNAcentral
UACGUAGGGGGCAAGCGUUGUCCGGAUUUAUUGGGCGUAAAGAGCGUGUAGGCGGCCAGGUAGGUCUGCUGUGAAAACUCGAGGCUCAACCUCGAGCUGUCGGUGGAAACCAUCUGGCUAGAGUCCGGAAGAGGAGAGUGGAAUUCCCGGUGUAGCGGUGAAAUGCGCAGAUAUCGGGAAGAACACCCGUGGCGAAGGCGGCUCUCUGGGACGGUACUGACGCUGAGACGCGAAAGCGUGGGGAGCAACAGG